Molecule: long non-coding RNA, 1330 nt
Filed under: Equus asinus (donkey)
Lineage: Eukaryota; Metazoa; Chordata; Mammalia; Perissodactyla; Equidae
Description: lncRNA (ENSEASG00005035405.1)
Source: RNAcentral
ACCCACAACAAAGAUCAGCCCAAAUGGCAAUAGUAUUAAGGCUGAGAAACCUUGGAUUAGAAACCUGGAAGGAUAACCAGGGGAAGAGGAGGCAACCCUGAGAUUGCAAGAAUUGCAAGAAGCCACUGUUACCUCCAGGGCCAGCAGACCAGCAUGAAAAAAGAUCUGGGACCGGUCACUAAUUCAGAAGAGGGUAGACACAGGGCUUCCGAGCUUGGCGAGUAAGAGCCUACCUGGACAGCUCUCCUUGCUGCAGAGGGGAGGUAUGAGUUUGCAAAGCAUCUCUCAAAUGGAGUGAUUCAGCUGCGUGAAGACAGCUGUACUUCCGAAUAAAAAUAUCUUCUGGAGGAAAAGAGUCUUUCUUAUAAGUAGAAUUGUCCCCCAAAAUUGUUCAGUUUUCAGAUUAUAGGGAAGGAAAUGAGCUCAACGGAAAAACCGAAAUAGACACACAUGAUUCCAGAGGAAUCUAAAGACAACGCUCGGAUCUGAGUUACCAGGCAACUCUCUCUCCAAGGAUGCCAUCAUUCUGAUUUUAUAGAAUAAUCAGGUGCCAGAAUUUCUGACUCAAGAGAUCUUGGGAUAAUAAUGAAUUCAUCUUUUAUGAUUUUAAAAAACUAUAAGAAGAAACUUCUCUCUUGCCUGGCACACACUUCACUACUUUUUCUUUCACAGUUUCUUUGUUGUGCGUCUUUAAAGCAAACAGAUCUUCACUUGUUUGGGAUGUUUUUGUUGGAUCCUGCUGAGAGUGGGGAUAGGUGGAAGACCACUCAAGACACUGCUUUUUAGCUGCUUCGGAAUCUGAUCUGAUGGUUAUUAAGAAGUUUUAUCUACAAGGAACAAAGGGAAAAUUGCACAUAAACAUCAUCUAAAACAACAGUCAUGGGACACUCAGCCUCAUGCCUGAAAACAGGGUAAACAAAUUGGAUACAGAGCUGGACGAAGACAAAGGCACAUAAAAGAGCGUUUUCAUCAAUAUCUGAAAAAAAAAAUCCUUGUAGUAACAGUCGUCUGUUCAGGCACUUGUGUACAAAAUCUCAGGAUAGAGUUUUAGAAAAAAUUGUGUGCUAAUUUUCCAUUUUCUUUUUGUCUGUACCAUGACAUGUUACCUUUUAUUCAUUUGCUCAUUAGCGAAAGCCUAAUUUGUGCGAGAGUCUCUGCUAGACAUGAGUCCACGCCAGUGCAAGAGUCUGCAGUCCCAGCCUCCAAGAUGCUUACCCUCCAGAGAUGGAAAGAGACAUGUCGACAGCUCUUGACCAAUGAUAUAGGACUGAAAAUAGUAGGAUCUACUGUUUGUGCCAUUACAGGGGGGCCCACUACCUAAGGCUUUUUG